Molecule: long non-coding RNA, 1693 nt
Organism: Carassius gibelio (silver crucian carp)
Lineage: Eukaryota; Metazoa; Chordata; Actinopteri; Cypriniformes; Cyprinidae
Exons: 3
Source: RefSeq, a predicted model, not a curated record
GUGGACCCUCCAGAGUCGAGUCAGGUUCCGUUGACCCUCCAGAGUCGAGUCAGGUUCCCGUUGACCCUCCAGAGUCGAGUCAGGUUCCCGUUGACACUCCAGAGUCAGGUCAAGUCACCGUUGACACUCCAGAGUCAGGUCAAGUCCCCGUUGACACUCCAGAGCCAGGUCAAGUCACCGUUGACACUCCAGAGUCAGGUCAAGUCCCCGUUGACACUCCAGAGUCAGGGCUAGUCACCGUUGACACUCCAGAGUCAGGUCAAGUCACCGUUGACACUCCAGAGUCAGGUCAAGUCCCCGUUGACACUCCAGAGUCAGGUCAAGUCCCCGUUGACACUCCAGAGUCAGGUCAAGUCACCGUUGACACUCCAGAGUCGAGUCAGGUUCCCGUUGACACUCCAGAGUCAGGUCAAGUCACCGUUGACACUCCAAAGUCGAGUCAGGUUCCCGUUGACCCUCCAGAGCCAGAUCAAGUCACCGUUGACACUCCAUAGUCAGGUCAAGUCACCGUUGACACUCCAGAGUCAGGGCUAGUCACCGUUGACACUCCAGAGUCAGGGCUAGUCACCGUUGACACUCCAGAGUCAGGUCAAGUCACCGUUGACACUCCAGAGCCAGGUCAAGUCACCGUUGACACUCCAGAGCCAGGUCAAGUCCCCGUUGACACUCCAGAGUCAGGGCUAGUCACCGUUGACACUCCAGAGUCAGGGCUAGUCACUGUUGACACUCCAGAGUCAAGUCAAGUCACCGGUGUUCUUCAUGGGCAAAGGCAAGUCACCAUUGAUAUUCAUGGACAGAGGCACCUCACCAUUGAUCUUCAUGGGCAAAGUCCAGUCACCAGUGUUCUUCAUGGGCAAAGGCAAAUCACCAUUGAUCUUCAUGAACAAAUGCAAGUCACCAAUGAACUUAAUGAGGAGAGUCAAGUCACCAAUGAUCUUCAUGAGCAGAGUCAAGUCACCAUUGAUAUUCAUGGGCAAAGGCAAGUCACCAUUUGUAUUCAUGGACAGAGGCACCUCACCAUUGAUCUUCAUGGGCAAGGGCAAGUCACCAGUGAUCUUCAUGGGCAAAGUCCAGUCACCAGUGUUCUUCAUGGGCAAAGGCAAGUCACCAUUGAUCUGCAUGAGCAGAGUCAUGUCACCAUUGAUCUUCAUGGGCAAAGGCUAGUCACCAUUGAUCUUCAUGAGCAAAUGCAAGUCACCAAUGACCUUAAUGAGCAGAGUCAGGUCACCAAUGAUCUUCCUGAAUCCAGUCUAAACACCACGGUAUUACCAGAGUCUCUCCACGUCUCUGCGGAACUACCAAUUCAAUUCAAUUAAAGUUUAUUUGUAUAGCGCUUUUUACAAUACAAAUCGUUACAAAGUAACUUUACAGAAAAUUAUGUUUCUACAAUAUUUAGUAGUAGCUAGUAGUUUGUGCACGUUUGACAGGAUUUUAGAAAAAAAAAAAAAAAAAAUAAUAAUACAAGACGUAGUCAGCUAGACGAUGAACUAUCAAUAUUAGUAAUUAAUACCAGAGCCUCUCCACGUCUCUGCGGAACUACCAGAGCUUCCCCACGUCUCUGCUGAACUACCAGAGCCUAUCCGCGUCUCUGCUGAACUACCAGAGCCUCCCAAUGUCUCUGCUGAACUACUAGAGCCUCUCUUAGUCUCGGCUGAACUACCAUAGCCUCUCCUCAUUUCUGCGGAACUUCCAG